Molecule: ribosomal RNA, 497 nt
Filed under: uncultured bacterium
Lineage: Bacteria
Description: partial 16S ribosomal RNA
Rfam family: Bacterial small subunit ribosomal RNA
Source: RNAcentral
GAUGAACGCUGGCGGCGUGCUUAAUACAUGCAAGUCGAGCGAAAGGACGAGAAGUUUGCUUCUUUGAUGUUAGCGGCGGACGGGUGAGUAACACGUGGAUAACUUACCUAUAAGACUGGGAUAACUUAGGGACACCGUAGCUAACACCGGAUAAUAUUUUGAACCGCAUGGUUAAAUAGUGAAAGACGGCGUUGCUGUCACUUAUAGCUGCAUCCACGCUGCAUUAGCUAGUUGGUAAGGUAACGGCUUACUAAGGCGACGAUGCAUAUCCGACCUUAGAGAUUGGUCGGCCACACGGGAACUUAAACAGGGUCCAUGCUCCUGCGGGAGGCAGCAGUAGCCACUGUUCCGCAAUGGGCGAGAGCCUGACAGAGCAACACCGCGUCAGUGAUAAACGUCUUGCGGUCGUAAAGCUCUGUUAUUGGGGAAGAACAUAUGUGUAAGGAGCUGUACACAUCUUGACGUUACCGAGUCAGAAAGCCACGGCUAACUACGUG